RNAcentral lists this ribosomal RNA (498 nucleotides) under uncultured bacterium. RNAcentral's name for it is "partial 16S ribosomal RNA". It matches the Rfam family "Bacterial small subunit ribosomal RNA", at positions 28 to 507 of the family's 1533-position model. The record is from RNAcentral.
GACGAACGCUGGCGGCGUGCCUAAUACAUGCAAGUCGAGCGGACGAAUCGAAAGCUUGCUUUUGAUUCGUUAGCGGCGGACGGGUGAGUAACACGUGGGCAACCUGCCCUGUAGACGGGGAUAACACCGAGAAAUCGGUGCUAAUACCGGAUAACACGAAAUGUCGCAUGACGUUUCGUUGAAAGACGGCGCAAGCUGUCGCUACAGGAUGGGCCCGCGGCGCAUUAGCUAGUUGGUGAGGUAACGGCUCACCAAGGCGACGAUGCGUAGCCGACCUGAGAGGGCGAUCGGCCACACUGGGACUGAGACACGGCCCAGACUCCUACGGGAGGCAGCAGUAAGGAAUCUUCCGCAAUGGACGAAAGUCUGACGGAGCAACGCCGCGUGAGCGAAGAAGGCCUUCGGGUCGUAAAGCUCUGUUGUUAGGGAAGAACAAGUAACGCAGUAACUGGCGUUACCGUGACGGUACCUAACGAGAAAGCCACGGCUAACUACGUG